UACAGGGGGGGCAAGCGUUGUUCGGAAUUACUGGGCGUAAAGGGUUCGUAGGUGGCCACUUAAGUCAGACGUGAAAUCCCUCAGCUUAACUGGGGAACUGCGUCUGAUACUGCGUGGCUUGAGUGCAGGAGAGGAAUGCGGAAUUCCAGGUGUAGCGGUGAAAUGCGUAGAUAUCUGGAGGAACACCGGCGGCGAAGGCGGCAUUCUGGACUGUAACUGACACUGAUGAACGAAAGCCAGGGGAGCAAACGGG
RNAcentral lists this ribosomal RNA (253 nucleotides) under uncultured bacterium. RNAcentral's name for it is "partial 16S ribosomal RNA". It matches the Rfam family "Bacterial small subunit ribosomal RNA", at positions 524 to 776 of the family's 1533-position model. The record is from RNAcentral.